CUCUUUCGGCCGCGCUGGUGAACAGCCCAGCUCAACAUUGGCAAUGUGCUCCCUGUGGGCACCAUGCCUGAGGGUACAAUCGUGUGCUGCCUGGAGGAGAAGCCUGGAGACCGUGGCAAGCUGGCCCGGGCAUCAGGCAACUAUGCCACUGUUAUCUCCCAUAACCCUGAGACCAAGAAGACCCGUGUGAAGCUGCCCUCCGGCUCCAAGAAGGUUAUCUCCUCAGCCAACAGAGCUGUGGUUGGUGUGGUGGCUGGAGGCGGCCGAAUUGACAAACCCAUCUUGAAGGCUGGCCGGGCGUACCACAAAUAUAAGGCAAAGAGGAACUGCUGGCCACGAGUACGGGGUGUGGCCAUGAAUCCUGUGGAGCAUCCUUUUGGAGGUGGCAACCACCAGCACAUCGGCAAGCCCUCCACCAUCCGCAGAGAUGCCCCUGCUGGCCGCAAAGUGGGUCUCAUUGCUGCCCGCCGGACUGGACGUCUCCGGGGAACCAAGACUGUGCAGGAGAAAGAGAACUAGUGCUGAGGGCCUCAAUAAAGUUUGUGUUUAUGCCACC
This 556-nucleotide small RNA is filed under the name Pan troglodytes (chimpanzee). RNAcentral describes it as "processed transcript". The record is from RNAcentral. Lineage: Eukaryota; Metazoa; Chordata; Mammalia; Primates; Hominidae.